GUGGCAAGCAUUUGUAAGGACGUACCUGACAGAGCAUUUGUUCCAUAGCUCACAGGCACAACGAGGUUGAGAGCUCUCCACUUGCUCAGCUGGUGGCCUAGCAUCCAGAUCAGCUAAAGGAUGACAUUUUUGGAGUGCUACAUCUGCAGAUCACAUCCAACAUACAUAAUGCCAUUUGGCCACCAAGUGGUUGUGGAUUUUUUAUUUAUUAGGUGUGCAAUGGGAAUAAUGAAUCCUGUGGAGACAGCCAGCUCAGACUUCAUCCUGAAGGAAUCAUGCACCCAGACAUGUUUGGUUAGCCCUCAAAUUUGCAGGUAUGGCUUUUCCCAGCAAUUCCCCAUGCCAGGCAAUGUCCCAGUAUCUUGUACUAGCAAAAGGGUAAAGCUGGCAGCAGUUGUCCCAGCUUUAAUCAGCACCAAGUUUUACAGCUGUUGUAUCCAGCUGCAGUCCUGUUAUCCAAGAAUUU
This is a long non-coding RNA of Lonchura striata (white-rumped munia), 466 nucleotides long. NCBI's taxonomy places the organism in Eukaryota, Metazoa, Chordata, Aves, Passeriformes, Estrildidae. The record is from Ensembl.